GUGUAAAGGAUGAUCCGCCUAAUAAUUUACUUUUAUUAUAUUGGUGUAUAUCUGGUUUAAUAUUAUUGCUGAAUGGCAGAAGUUGUGUAGUGUUAUUUAAGCCAAGUCUAUGUGCUGUUUAUAAAAGUAUUCAUGCGUUACAUUAAUAAGUAUUUAAUUGUAAUAUUAGAUGAUUUAGGACUUAAAAGUAAUGUUUAAUUAAUUAGUAAAUG
This 212-nucleotide ribosomal RNA is filed under the name Hydatigera taeniaeformis. RNAcentral's name for it is "partial 12S ribosomal RNA". Lineage: Eukaryota; Metazoa; Platyhelminthes; Cestoda; Cyclophyllidea; Taeniidae. The record is from RNAcentral.